CUCCAGUGCCACAUAUUAGGUAGGAUUAGUUAGGACCGGCCCUAACCUAAAGCAAAUUAGGCCACUGGCUUGAGCCUCAUAUUUCAAAGGGCAUCAAAAAAUAAAAAAUAAAAAAAUGAAGAAGCCCAAAAAUCGCCAUAGUAAAAAACCCCUCAAAUCCCUUUAAAAAAAGAAAAAAGAAAAAUAGUACAUGCUGAUAAGAGUGUAAAGAGGCCGUGAAAAGUGAAAUCUAUUUCUCUAAUAAUCUUCACCAAAAAAGCUAUUAAUUCCAAAUUUUCCACACACAAUUGUUGCAUCUUGAUUCUGUUGAAGGUCUCCAAAAAUCUUAAAAAACUCAAGGUAAAAGUUAUACCAUUGUUUUGUAUUUUUUUUAAAUAUUUACUUAUAACAUGACAAGAUAUUUUGGUCUUGAAUCUUUGAUAUUUGAGUACUUUUGAUUUUGGGUUUAAAGAGUUUCAUUGGAAAGAAGUUGAAAAAUGUUAUAAUUGGCUUAUUAUCAAUUAGAACUUUCGAAAAUAAUGGAGUUUUGUUUGAAUAGAUUGGGUUUGAUUUUUUUUAAAUUUUUAUACCCCAUAAGAGAGUUUACAGAAAUAAUUUGGCGUCGAAUUUGAGUUAAAUUCGUGAAUUUUUUGUUUUUCAGCACUCAUUUUUUUAAUUAAUUCAAGUUUAACUCAUAUUUUUUUCUCAGUUCUCACCUCUGUUUAGCAUUUUUCAAGUGUUUGUAAAUGUUGAACUAUUUGUGGUUUUUGCUUCUUUAGUGUGGGUGAAGGUGCUAUAAUGAAGCAUAACUUUAAUAUUCAUGUAUAGGGAGCAGAAAUUUGCAUAUAUUCAGUUGUCUGCUUAGGCGAUGAUUGGCUUUGCUUUGGCCUCCUUUUCUUUGUACUUAGAGAAUGUUCAUCCAUUUGCUUGGUGUUAUCCUUGUUUUUAUUUGUUUACCGUUUCUUCAAGAACCAUGAUCUAUUCUUCAGUCUUCAUCAAAAUGGCACUGUAUUAUACUGAAAUAUUGAAGCUCCCUAAACCUAUUAAAACCACAUAAAAUAGAUAAUUCUUCCAACUUUAGAUUGACUAAUCUUUGGAGAAACUGUGCUAUCUAUAGACAUACCUUAAAUAUAGUUGUAACAGGGCUUCUUGUUUGGUAUUCUGAUACUGAAAGUAGCAGAGCCAAGGAGGAAAAAUUGGUAUAGAGAUCAAUAUCAUUGCAGUAGAAACCAAUAUAGAAGUAUCACUAUGCUUGUUAAAAGAUUAUGUUUAAGGGCCUCAUAAUAGUUAAAAUGCUUAGAGCCUCGAAGUUCUUAGGGCUGGCCCUGGCAUUGGUGGCCAUCGUCACAACAGUAGUGCCCUGGUGCUAUUACAAAUGCCACCCGAAAUGUGAUAUAACUAGAUGCUUAUUACAUUAAAAGGAAGAAUCGUGCACCAGACACUCUCCACAGUUUACACAAUCAAUUUCCAGUCUCUUCAGCUUAUUUUUCCAGUAGGCAAUUCGACACCGUUGUGGAUUACUCUAACCACCACCACCACCACUCGGAAGGCGAUUCAUCUCUAAAAUUGUGUAGAUAGUUUCACAGCAAAUUUCUGUGUCUAUCUUCUCAUAUCUUCAUCUAUCUAUGUAGAAUCCAUAAAGGAAACAUAACCUGUAAAGGUUAAAUUAUUGAUUUCGAUUAUGCAGUUGACCAAUCCCUGAUUUUAUUUUGGAGUUCUCAUUAUGAAGCCGGCCCGAGCUGAUUUCAUGAAGUUCCCUACGGCUGUUUCUUGAUACAUCCCCCAAAGUUUCAAGCAGGAAGCUCUAUCUAACUUUUCAUUGGGUUCCAGUUUGGAUCUGGGAGUGGCAUUCAGUUAUCCAAAAGUGAAUUUGCUGGAUUACAUAAUUCUAUUAAUGUAGAUGCUUUUGACUCCUUCCUCUUCUACAGAGAGGAUGAGUCUACAGAUAUGUAUUAUGAUGAUCUCAUUAAGGAAGAUUGUGCAAUUUUGCAAUUGCAUUUUGAUAAUUUGAAUAUUCCUCAUGUGAUAGAUGCUCUGCUUCUCUGGUUGUCAAGUUCUGCAGGAAUUAUUGGCUCCAUUUCAAUUCGAGUAUUGACUUAUCACAGUGACAAUAAUUAGGCUCCAUAAUUUAACAGAUUAUUAAAUUUUGUAGUCACAUUUUGAUCAAAUGGAUA
This 2153-nucleotide long non-coding RNA is filed under the name Olea europaea subsp. europaea. Lineage: Eukaryota; Viridiplantae; Streptophyta; Magnoliopsida; Lamiales; Oleaceae. The record is from RNAcentral.